Molecule: ribosomal RNA, 467 nt
Filed under: uncultured bacterium
Lineage: Bacteria
Description: bacterial SSU rRNA
Rfam family: Bacterial small subunit ribosomal RNA
Source: RNAcentral
AGUGAACGCUGGCGGCGUGCUUAACACAUGCAAGUCGAACGAUGAAGCUCUUGCUUGCAAGAGUGGAUUAGUGGCGCACGGGUGAGUAAUGUAUAGCUAACCUGCCCUUCAGAGGGGACAACAGUUGGAAACGACUGCUAAUACCCCAUACUCCUUUCUAUCAUAAGGUAGAUUGGGAAAACUCCGGUGCUGAAGGAUGGGGCUGUAUGGUAUCAGCUAGUUGGUGGGGUAAUGGCCUACCAAGGCAAUGACGCCUAGCUGGUCUGAGAGGAUGAUCAGCCACACUGGAACUGAGACACGGUCCAGACUCCUACGGGAGGCAGCAGUGGGGAAUAUUGCACAAUGGGGGAAACCCUGAUGCAGCAACGCCGCGUGGAGGAUGACGCAUUUUCGGUGUGUAAAACUCCUUUUAUCAGUCAAGAACAUGACGGUAGCUGAUGAAUAAGCACCGGCUAACUCCGUGCCAG